UCCUGCCAGAUUUAUUACCGUUAAUCAAUA
This 30-nucleotide non-coding RNA is filed under the name Mus musculus (house mouse). Lineage: Eukaryota; Metazoa; Chordata; Mammalia; Rodentia; Muridae. The record is from RNAcentral.